GAUGAACGCUGGCGGCGUGCCUAAUACAUGCAAGUAGAACGCUGAAGGAGGAGCUUGCUCUUCUGGAUGAGUUGCGAACGGGUGAGUAACGCGUAGGUAACCUGCCUGGUAGCGGGGGAUAACUAUUGGAAACGAUAGCUAAUACCGCAUGACAACAGUUAUUGCAUGAUAACUGUUUAAAAGGGGCAACUGCUCCACUACCAGAUGGACCUGCGUUGUAUUAGCUAGUUGGUGAGGUAACGGCUCACCAAGGCGACGAUACAUAGCCGACCUGAGAGGGUGGUCGGCCACACUGGGACUGAGACACGGCCCAGACUCCUACGGGAGGCAGCAGUAGGGAAUCUUCGGCAAUGGGCGGAAGGCUGACCGAGCAACGCCGCGUGAGUGAAGGAGGUUUUCGGAUCGUAAAGCUCUGUUGUAAGGGAAGAACGAGUGUGAGAGUGGAAAGUUCACACUGUGACGGUAUCUUACCAGAAAGGGACGGCUAACUACGUG
This 495-nucleotide ribosomal RNA is filed under the name uncultured bacterium. RNAcentral's name for it is "partial 16S ribosomal RNA". It matches the Rfam family "Bacterial small subunit ribosomal RNA", at positions 28 to 507 of the family's 1533-position model. The record is from RNAcentral.